AUUGAACGCUGGCGGCAUGCCUUACACAUGCAAGUCGAACGGCAGCGGGCCUUCGGGUGCCGGCGAGUGGCGAACGGGUGAGUAAUGCAUCGGAACGUGCCAUUGAGUGGGGGAUAACGUAGCGAAAGUUACGCUAAUACCGCAUAUUCUGUGAGCAGGAAAGCAGGGGACCGCAAGGCCUUGCGCUCUUUGAGCGGCCGAUGUCAGAUUAGCUAGUUGGUGAGGUAAAGGCUUACCAAGGCGACGAUCUGUAGCGGGUCUGAGAGGAUGAUCCGCCACACUGGAACUGAGACACGGUCCAGACUCCUACGGGAGGCAGCAGUGGGGAAUUUUGGACAAUGGGCGCAAGCCUGAUCCAGCCAUGCCGCGUGAAGCGAAGAAGGCCUGG
This 388-nucleotide ribosomal RNA is filed under the name uncultured bacterium. RNAcentral describes it as "bacterial SSU rRNA". It matches the Rfam family "Bacterial small subunit ribosomal RNA", at positions 30 to 419 of the family's 1533-position model. The record is from RNAcentral.